UCAGCGGCUAACUUCUAAAGAAGUAGUUGUCAAUUAACAAAGAUGGGUUGUUAGGAGUGGAGGAGCACAGAGUUUCUUUCCCUGAAGUGGCAGGACUGAAGCAGGUGAGAGAGCCCCAUCCAACCAGACAGCAAAACGUGGCAAAUGAUCCACGGAAGGAAGAGAGUAGUCUAACUGAGAGAUGCUUUGGCAAAUCCACUGAAGGGUGGGAGAGAGCCUUGUUAGAGGAAGGCUCACUCUCCACUGCCCAUUGUGGAAGAAAGAAGAGGAUAAAUUACUACAGAGAAGGACCAGGAGGGAGCAGCUGAGCUCUAGGUGGGGAAAAGGGUCAGAACAAGGAAAACAACUAUUGCAAUGCUUGGUGUUUAACCGGGAUUUAUUAGGUUGUUUGCUGUGUAAUGUAAUCUACUCCUCUCUCUCCUUGAAAUUUCUUAAGUAGAUUCUACAUUGUUCAUUCAUGUUUAUAUGCCAGUA
Microcebus murinus (gray mouse lemur) is the source of this 474-nucleotide non-coding RNA. The record is from RefSeq and is a predicted model, not a curated record. Lineage: Eukaryota; Metazoa; Chordata; Mammalia; Primates; Cheirogaleidae.